Molecule: long non-coding RNA, 212 nt
Organism: Stegodyphus dumicola
Lineage: Eukaryota; Metazoa; Arthropoda; Arachnida; Araneae; Eresidae
Gene: narya
Source: RefSeq, a predicted model, not a curated record
GGAUACAGAUGAAACCUGAUGUGCAGAUUUAUUUUAUGGAUCCAGGUGAAAUACUGAGGAAAAAAUUGAAAGAAAUUCUGCAGGUUUUUGAAUUUCAAAAGAAUCAUAGAGCAAGAUUAAUGACUUACCAGAAAAAGCAGUUAUUAAAGUAUAAGCAGAUGAAGGAGGAUUUCAGAAGACUUUUAAAAAAUUUAAAAGAUUUAGACAAGUUA